Molecule: long non-coding RNA, 1179 nt
Organism: Amphiprion ocellaris (clown anemonefish)
Lineage: Eukaryota; Metazoa; Chordata; Actinopteri; Pomacentridae
Source: Ensembl
CCAGAAGUGUUUGGUUUGGUGGAACCCUGUUGUUCAUGUGUGAGCGGCUGAUUAGCCCUCAUGCCAUACAGCUGUGGGGGAACUAAUGAUUGGUUUGGCCGUUGCAGCAGGGGGUUCAAAUUGAUUGACGGACAUAGCUCCACUAUACUCCUGAACAGACCAGUGUUCUGUGGCUGCAGGGCAGAGUCUGCUGACGGUGUCUCUGCUUAUCGGCGGCUUCAUGCGUCUGUAGCGUCGGACAGCCGAGGUAACCACAAUGUUUGUUUAUGUUUAUUGUUAUCGUUCUGUUGCUUGUUUGUGGUUAAACAUUUCUUUGUUUCAUUACAGUUUUGCCUCUGUUGCCUUGUCUUUUUGCUUGUUUAUUUUGUUGUUUCUUUCUUUUAGUUUGUAGUUGUUUUGGCUGGUUUUGUAUCAGUUUGCUUGGUUCGAGUUUAGUUUAGUUUCUCCCCAUGUGUGUUUAUCUUUAGAUUGUUGUGGCUGUGUUCUCUGGCUCAGUAGUCAGGUUUCUCCCCUCCAUAGCUGCGUAGGGCCUGUGUGACUUCCAGUUUUAAUAACUGCGUUUAUAUUAACAUUAGUGUGUUGUGUGCUGAACAUAGUUUUUGUAUAAGAAUGAAAUUGUAUUUGUUUUUCUAUACACGCUGCUGUCUUCAUUUGUGCAUGUACCUGUGUUUAGUAGGGGAAGCCCUCUGUUGAGAGGCAGGAUUGUUAAUGUUCUUAAGGUGGAGAUCAAAUUGCGCUGUAUGUCCCCCCUAAACUAAAAUGCAUUUGACACCCCUGUCUGAAGUUACCCUACACCAUCAUUUUAAACCUACAUCUGUUAUUAUCUAGCAAACUGACAUGCUCUUACUGUGUACUGCAACCUGGAUGUUAAUUUCUCUGAUGAUGGCUCCCUUAUCAUCUUCAUAAUGUUCCAUCUGAUGGGUUUGUUCUCCUGCUGAGAUGAACAUUGAUCUGGUUUUUGGUUCUUUUUGCAACAAUUGCAUCUUCUUUUUGACAGUUCUGGACUGCUGAUGCGCUCCAUGUACACAGGUAAUGCAAAAAUCUUUGAAGCUUGGUUUGGGCUAAUGCUGAUGAGAUGUUGUUAAAGUCUGUAACUAGAACAGCUGUGUCUCAACUCAACAUCAAUGUUUUUUCAAUAAAGCACAGAUUUCAUUGUUUCCUUUAAUGAAUACUCACCAG